This 253-nucleotide ribosomal RNA is filed under the name uncultured bacterium. RNAcentral's name for it is "partial 16S ribosomal RNA". It matches the Rfam family "Bacterial small subunit ribosomal RNA", at positions 524 to 776 of the family's 1533-position model. The record is from RNAcentral.
UACGUAGGGCGCAAGCGUUAUCCGGAAUUAUUGGGCGUAAAGAGCUCGUAGGCGGUUUGUCGCGUCUGCCGUGAAAGUCCGGGGCUCAACUCCGGAUCUGCGGUGGGUACGGGCAGACUAGAGUGCGGUAGGGGAGAUUGGAAUUCCUGGUGUAGCGGUGGAAUGCGCAGAUAUUAGGAAGAACACCAGUGGCGAAGGCGGCUCACUGGUCCGGUACUGACGCUGAGGUGCGAAAGCGUGGGGAGCAAACAGG